Molecule: ribosomal RNA, 526 nt
Filed under: uncultured organism
Description: bacterial SSU rRNA
Rfam family: Bacterial small subunit ribosomal RNA
Source: RNAcentral
UGGAUCCAGACUUUGAUUAUGGCUCAGGAUGAACGCUAGCUACAGGCUUAACACAUGCAAGUCGAGGGGAAACGAUAGAGAAAGCUUGCUUUUUCUAGGCGUCGACCGGCGCACGGGUGAGUAACGCGUAUCCAACCUGCCCAUCACUUGGGGAUAACCUUGCGAAAGUAAGACUAAUACCCAAUGAUAUCUCUAGAAGACAUCUGAAGGAGAUUAAAGAUUUAUCGGUGAUGGAUGGGGAUGCGUCUGAUUAGCUUGUUGGCGGGGUAACGGCCCACCAAGGCGAUGAUCAGUAGGGGUUCUGAGAGGAAGGUCCCCACAUUGGAACUGAGACACGGUCCAAACUCCUACGGGAGGCAGCAGUGAGGAAUAUUGGUCAAUGGACGAGAGUCUGAACCAGCCAAGUAGCGUGCAGGAUGACGGCCCUAUGGGUUGUAAACUGCUUUUAUAAGGGAAUAAAGUGAGCCUCGUGAGACUUUUUGCAUGUACCUUAUGAAUAAGGACCGGCUAAUUCCGUGGCAGCAGC